CAAUAGCGUAUAUUAUAGUUGUUGACAGUUAAAAGCUCGUAGUUGGACUUCUAGAUGUGGGGAUUCGGUCCACCGCAAGGUGAGCACUGUAUGUCCUUGCGUCGUUCCUCUCGUAGUUGUUUGGCGCACUUAGUUGGGUGCCAGAUGAAUAUGGGUACCUUUACUUUGAAAAAUUAGAGUGUUCAAAGCAGGCGAUCGCUUGAAUACAUUAGCAUGGAAUAAUAGAAUAGGACUUUGGUUCUAUUUUGUUGGUUUCUAGGACCGAAGUAAUGAUUAAUAGGGACAUUGGGGGCGAUUAGUAUUUAAUUGUCAGAGGUGAAAUUCUUGGAUUUAUGAAAGACAACUACUGCGAAAGCAUUUGCCAAGGAUGUUUUCUAUUAAUCAAGAAACGAAAGUUAAGGGGAUCGAAGAUGAUCAGAUACCAU
This 425-nucleotide ribosomal RNA is filed under the name uncultured eukaryote. RNAcentral's name for it is "bacterial SSU rRNA". It matches the Rfam family "Eukaryotic small subunit ribosomal RNA", at positions 592 to 1018 of the family's 1831-position model. The record is from RNAcentral.